Molecule: long non-coding RNA, 2014 nt
Filed under: Sorghum bicolor (sorghum)
Lineage: Eukaryota; Viridiplantae; Streptophyta; Magnoliopsida; Poales; Poaceae
Description: long non-coding RNA (SBIC_LNC002611)
Source: RNAcentral
CGUGUCUGUGUGAUGGAGCUUCCAUUCAAGAGUUAUCUUUUAUUUCCGCUUUAUUUAUGUAAAGACUCUGAGAUAUUAUCGUUAUGUAAUGAACAUUUAUGAUGAUACUCCCUAUAAUUUGUCGGCUUAUGUGUGAUUGAUCUCUGGGCACACAUAAGGUUUUGCAUUCAAUUUUAUCCUUAAAAUUGGGUGUGACACAUACCUUGCAUUUGUCACUCCUUUGAUAUUUUGCUCCAAACCUAGUAAGGUUAGUGAAAAUAAUACCUGAAGGAAUAAUUAUAAUUCUAUGCUUAAUUAACAAGGGUAGCACAAUAGAAAGGUGAACACUCAUGUCAUGGUCUAAAUAGUGAUUGUUUUAGGACACUAAGCUUGUCCUUGGGAAACCUUUAAGAUGUGGUUUGGUGAAGUGGUUUCCCUUCACAACACCCAUCUAAGUGCACUACUUUCAAGAUUUACCACAACAAGAUCUACAAUAUUUAUGAUAAACAUAUGUGUCUACAACCACCCUUUAAAAAAAUUUAGGAACAGUGAGCAUGAGGGGGUUGAAGAUCUCAUGUGGGGUAAUGUUAGAGAGACUAAGUGAAUCAGGAGAUUUUUCUUAUGAGCAAGGGACCGAUGGGGUGUUAAUGAAGUAGCUUCUAUGCUCAUUGAAGUCUCCAUCAUUUUCUACUUCCAAGAGUGACUCAACAAGUAUGUCCAAAAAUUCCCUUGGGUCAUCUCUUGAAUUAAUCUUUUCUAAGGCCUUGUCCAUCCAUUCAAUGGAGAAAGCACCUAGGUUUUUAAUGCUCUCGAGCCAUAGAUUUUGGUCUUGUCUAUCUUAUAUAUGGCCUUGAUUAUUCCUAUGCAUGGGAGAUCUAGAUGGAUUUCUAGGAUCAUCAAGAGGUUUAGGAGAAAGAGCAAAGAACAAGCCAUAGUGGUCAAGGAUGGGUUUAGAGAUGGGUUCAUAUUCUAUAUCUAAUGUGGGCAAAGAAGGAAGAGGAUAAGAGUGUCUUCUAGAUGAAAUGCUUGUUGAUAGAAAAGAAAAGGAAAAAGAAAAGAUGAGAUAAAAGAAAAAGAUAAAAGUAUAAUACAAGGUUAAGCAUGAUUUAAAGUUAUCUUAGCAGACAGUCUUUCUCUCCGGCACAUAGAGAAAUCCGCAAGCGCACAGAUAUCGGUGAGCACUUCACCUGGGAGAUAUUCUAGGGUAGAAAGCGUGCAUCAGACUAACCUAAAUCUAUACUUAACCCCUGGGCUUGCAAGACAUGAUAGUGAGAUAUGAGCUAUAUAGAGAGAACUCCUUCGCCAGUCUUCUUCUAACCUAUGGUAAGUGUGUGGUUAUAGUUCCAAGGGGAGUACCUAGAUAAAAGAGACACCUCAGAGAGUGUUUGACCCUGGCACCAUAUAUCAUACCUUACCUACUGACGAGACGUGGAUUACAGAGACACCAAGGGGAUUGUCACUUCCCCCGAUGCUACCACAAAUCCAGCCAGAUAGGGAGUAUCUAUGAGUGUACCUAGCCCAAGCACCACGCUUAUGCUAUGAACGAUUACUUUAUUCCAAAUACAAAGAGAAUAAAGUAAACCCAUAAGCCAAAGAAUAAUAAGAACAAUAAGUCACUAGUAUUAAAAGUCAAAUUGCCGAAUGAUUCUAGAACCAAGCCUUGGGUGGAAGAAGACACCGACAGGACAGGCUUCCUCCACUACUGUCUCCACCCUAUACUAUCUCAAUAUCUCUUGUUGCUAGAACCCUAUAGAGAUAGAUCCAUUCGAGGAAGCCCUCUUUGACUAAUUCUCUCUGGAAAAUAUGAAUUAGGUUUCAGAAUUAGCUACUCCCUAGGGGUGGUUAGGGUCUUAUUUAUAGCCCCUUAGAAAGCACCACAACCUUUGGAUCAAAUAGACUUAAACAUACACUUAAGAUUAAUCGUCAAACAUGGUGGAGGCAGGAUCCGUGAGGUUCAACCUGAUUGGUGGACUUAGUGGGGUGGGCGCCCCUACCCUUCUAGGCAGCCACCCAGAGCCCAGACCCGUUUUGCCUC